RNAcentral lists this ribosomal RNA (1171 nucleotides) under Citrobacter freundii. Its description in RNAcentral is "bacterial LSU rRNA". It matches the Rfam family "Bacterial large subunit ribosomal RNA", at positions 1762 to 2925 of the family's 2925-position model. Lineage: Bacteria; Pseudomonadati; Pseudomonadota; Gammaproteobacteria; Enterobacterales; Enterobacteriaceae. The record is from RNAcentral.
UGGAGCUGAAAUCAGUCGAAGAUACCAGCUGGCUGCAACUGUUUAUUAAAAACACAGCACUGUGCAAACACGAAAGUGGACGUAUACGGUGUGACGCCUGCCCGGUGCCGGAAGGUUAAUUGAUGGGGUUAUCCGUAAGGAGAAGCUCUUGAUCGAAGCCCCGGUAAACGGCGGCCGUAACUAUAACGGUCCUAAGGUAGCGAAAUUCCUUGUCGGGUAAGUUCCGACCUGCACGAAUGGCGUCAUGAUGGCCAGGCUGUCUCCACCCGAGACUCAGUGAAAUUGAACUCGCUGUGAAGAUGCAGUGUACCCGCGGCAAGACGGAAAGACCCCGUGAACCUUUACUAUAGCUUGACACUGAACACUGGUCCUUGAUGUGUAGGAUAGGUGGGAGGCUUUGAAGUGUGGACGCCAGUCUGCAUGGAGCCAUCCUUGAAAUACCACCCUUUAAUGGCUGGUGUUCUAACGUGGACCCGUUACCCGGGUUGCGGACAGUGUCUGGUGGGUAGUUUGACUGGGGCGGUCUCCUCCUAAAGAGUAACGGAGGAGCACGAAGGUUAGCUAAUCCUGGUCGGACAUCAGGAGGUUAGUGCAAAGGCAUAAGCUAGCUUGACUGCGAGAGUGACGGCUCGAGCAGGUGCGAAAGCAGGUCUUAGUGAUCCGGUGGUUCUGAAUGGAAGGGCCAUCGCUCAACGGAUAAAAGGUACUCCGGGGAUAACAGGCUGAUACCGCCCAAGAGUUCAUAUCGACGGCGGUGUUUGGCACCUCGAUGUCGGCUCAUCACAUCCUGGGGCUGAAGUAGGUCCCAAGGGUAUGGCUGUUCGCCAUUUAAAGUGGUACGCGAGCUGGGUUUAGAACGUCGUGAGACAGUUCGGUCCCUAUCUGCCGUGGGCGCUGGAGAAUUGAGGGGGGCUGCUCCUAGUACGAGAGGACCGGAGUGGACGCAUCACUGGUGUUCGGGUUGUCAUGCCAAUGGCAUUGCCCGGUAGCUAAAUGCGGAAGAGAUAAGUGCUGAAAGCAUCUAAGCACGAAACUUGCCCCGAGAUGAGUUCUCCCUGAGACUAUAAGUCUCCUGAAGGAACGUUGAAGACGACGACGUUGAUAGGUCGGGUGUGUAAGUGUAGCGAUACAUUGAGCUAACCGAUACUAAUGAACCGUGAGGCUUAACCUU